AGGUGUAGGGCAGAUAUAGUGCAGGUGUAGUGCAGAUGUAGAGGGGGUGUAGCGCAGGUGUAGGGCAGAUAUAGUGCAGGUGUAGUGCAGAUGUAGCAGGAGUGUAGCGCAGGUGUAGGGCAGAUAUAGUGCAGAUGUAGCGGGGGUGUAGCGCAGGUG
Long non-coding RNA from Sinocyclocheilus anshuiensis, 159 nucleotides. RefSeq lists it as uncharacterized. The transcript is spliced from 3 exons. NCBI's taxonomy places the organism in Eukaryota, Metazoa, Chordata, Actinopteri, Cypriniformes, Cyprinidae. The record is from RefSeq and is a predicted model, not a curated record.